This 253-nucleotide ribosomal RNA is filed under the name uncultured bacterium. RNAcentral's name for it is "partial 16S ribosomal RNA". It matches the Rfam family "Bacterial small subunit ribosomal RNA", at positions 524 to 776 of the family's 1533-position model. The record is from RNAcentral.
GACGAACCGAGCGAACGUUGUUCGGAAUCACUGGGCUUAAAGGGCGCGUAGGCGGACUAUCAAGUCUGGGGGGAAAUCCCGCGGCUCAACCGUGGAACUGCCUCAGAUACUGACGGUCUCGAGGGAGGUAGGGGCAUGCGGAACUGUAGGUGGAGCGGUGAAAUGCGUUGAUAUCUACAGGAACUCCGGUGGCGAAAGCGGCGUGCUGGACCUCUUCUGACGCUGAGGCGCGAAAGCUAGGGGAGCAAACGGG